UUGAAUUAUUCAAUUUAUGAAGUCUCAUAUGUUGUUUGAACCAUAUCAUAUUUAUAGGGAUUUUCAGCUGAUUUGAAGAAGCAGAAGAACAUUUUGAUUUUGUACAUGGAAGAAGCAAAUCAAGAAACGAGAGUUUUGAUUGAUUGUGAUUCAUCGAUACGUAGACGAGAAAGGAAGAGUAUUAUCAUUUAAAUGGUUAUGGAAGUGCCUUGUUUUCAAAAGCAAACCAGGAAGAAGACGCACUGUUCUGGUUCGAAACUGAUAUAAGCCUAUAGCAAAAUGUUCAUUCAAUCAGUGAGCUUCAGAUGAUGGGGAUUAUCUUCUUUCUUUUUGUAUCAAGUCGAUGACGAAGCAAUAUAAAUAAGCUCGGGAUUGUAAAUCUGGCAAUUAUAAACCUGUAGCAAAGUGUUCAUGCGAUUAGUGAGCUUUGGAUGAUGUGAGAUUAUCUUCUUUCUAUUUGUAUCAAGUCGAUGGGAAAGCAAUAUAAAUAAACUAGGGGUUGUAAAUAUGGCAAUUCAAAGGGGGAAGGUUAGGUAAGGAAAGAGAGGAAAAUGUGAAGUGAUAGUUGGUCACGUUAGCUCUGGUGUUAGGUGAGAUGAGUCGCCAUUAGUACUUGUCCCUCCUCUCUACUAAUCCACCAAAUUCCCUCAUAUAAUCUUCGCUCUUCCUCUUUCUUCAUCAACUAAACUUCCGUGCGAUCUGUCACUCUUUUUGAGCUGUCUUGUCAACUGGAAAAAAUGGCUGAACAAUUUCCCAACCCCUCUGACCAGGUUGUUCUGGGAGAAGAAGUAGGGCGUGUGAGAUUGAUAACCCUCAACCGUCCUCGUCAGUUGAAUGUCAUCUCAUCCGAUGUGGUAUCCUUGCUAGCAGAAUAUCUGGAGAAAUGGGAGAAAGAUGAUGUUGCUGAGCUUAUAUUAAUUAAGUCAGUUG
Carica papaya (papaya) is the source of this 930-nucleotide non-coding RNA. Lineage: Eukaryota; Viridiplantae; Streptophyta; Magnoliopsida; Brassicales; Caricaceae. The record is from RefSeq and is a predicted model, not a curated record.